Bubalus bubalis (water buffalo) is the source of this 722-nucleotide long non-coding RNA. RefSeq lists it as uncharacterized. NCBI's taxonomy places the organism in Eukaryota, Metazoa, Chordata, Mammalia, Artiodactyla, Bovidae. The transcript is spliced from 3 exons. The record is from RefSeq and is a predicted model, not a curated record.
GGAAAGGCUCAGCGGGCCUGGGGUCAGAUCUGUCUGUUUAUCUUGGGCCCAUUCGCUGUCUAUCAUCACUCAAGUCUGGAAAAGCCUGUUAGGAUUGGCUGCCCAACCUUUGAUCUUGAACCCAUGUCCCCAGCCCAGUAAAGAUCUGUCCGCUGGGUGGAUUGAAGUGAUUGGACCUGGAAUGCCCACUCCCCCCGCGAAGACGGCCCCUGCCAACUCUGCCCCAUACGUGCCUUUCACUGAGAGUCUGGGGGGCAGGGUCAGUAAGGUGUUCCUUUUUCCCCCCAAAAUUUUUGACCAUACCUUGCUGGGAUCUGAGGUCCCCAACCUGGUAUCAAACCUGUGCCCUCUGCAGUGGAAGCAAGAAUUCUUAACCACUGGACCACCAAGGAACUCUGAAGAAGAUGGUCUUGAAGUCGGAUGACCGUGGCCUUGCACCCUCCCCCUCCACGUCCAGCUGCCUGACCUGGAGGAAUGAUGGAGCUGUCUUGACCAUCUGUUCUUAUCCAAGGCACUGGAGAGCAAUCCAAGCAGGCAGGAACCAGAAGAAGCACAGUCCUUGAAGGAUAUGGAAGAAUUGAGGCACCCCAAGCCUGGCUCCUAUGUACGUGGCUGCUGCUGCUGCUGCUAAGUCACUUCAGUCGUGUCCGACUCUGUGCGACCCCAGAGACAGCAGCCCAUCAGGCUUCGCCAUCCCUGGGAUUCUCCAGGCAAGAACACUG